This 253-nucleotide ribosomal RNA is filed under the name uncultured bacterium. RNAcentral's name for it is "partial 16S ribosomal RNA". It matches the Rfam family "Bacterial small subunit ribosomal RNA", at positions 524 to 776 of the family's 1533-position model. The record is from RNAcentral.
UACGGAGGGUGCGAGCGUUGUCCGGAAUCAUUGGGCGUAAAGCGCACGUAGGCGGAUAUUUAAGUCAGGGGUGAAAUCCCGGGGCUCAACCCCGGAACUGCCUUUGAUACUGGGUAUCUCGAGUCCGAGAGAGGUGAGUGGAAUUCCGAGUGUAGAGGUGAAAUUCGUAGAUAUUCGGAGGAACACCAGUGGCGAAGGCGGCUCACUGGCUCGGUACUGACGCUGAGGUGCGAAAGCGUGGGGAGCAAACAGG